UCACCCUUCUUCCUCCAUAGGUAAGGUACUUUUCUUUUACCCCUAUGGCUUCUUUCAUGAUUUUCCCUGUGUCUCUUGUGACUCUUAUAUUCUGGUUGGGAAAACUGACAAUAAACAACAACAGUAAACAAAGAAAUAAAAAUAAAUCCAUGGUGAUAAGUACCCUUAUAUGGAAUAGAGAAUGGUCAGGUAGGUAGGUGAAAAGAGACUGCACAUUAGAUAGGGUGGAACAAAUGAGGCUU
This 242-nucleotide long non-coding RNA is filed under the name Pan troglodytes (chimpanzee). Its description in RNAcentral is "long non-coding RNA NONPTRT005037". The record is from RNAcentral. Lineage: Eukaryota; Metazoa; Chordata; Mammalia; Primates; Hominidae.